Molecule: long non-coding RNA, 765 nt
Filed under: Malus domestica (apple)
Lineage: Eukaryota; Viridiplantae; Streptophyta; Magnoliopsida; Rosales; Rosaceae
Description: long non-coding RNA (MDOM_LNC020643)
Source: RNAcentral
AGGAAAACUUGAAGAUUAAAAAAGUGCUAUUCAAUGUUAAUCUGGAGUAUUGAGAUUCAAAAUUUAUUAAAUGAACAACUGGAAAUCAUUUUGUAUGCAAGUAUAACAUGUGUGGAGAAGAACCCUCUAGCUAGUCCGUCAUUUAUCAUUUUACCUUAAUUUUAUGUUUUUGUCAAUUCUGUAAUUUAAUUAAGUUUAAUUUACUUUUCAUCAAAACCAAACACCCAUCCAUUAUUAAAUUAUAUUAUUUAUUUAGUUUUCUUUAUUGUUAGUCUUUUAAUUUAAUUUCCAUCCAUUGCAGUUCCUAGUGUCUAAUUUGAUUGUUUUCAUUAUUUUGAGUUAUCCUAAGUGUGUUUCGAGUUAUUAGAGUUUUUAGCCUAGUUUUGUGUCCUUGAGUCUUAUUUAAUAUUUUUAAAUUAAUUUAGAAUAGAUUAGCAAUCCCUCCUAAUCCCCGGCCUAGAACGAUACCCUACUUACAUCUAUACUACAAUUGUCAAAAAGAGGGUUUAAUUUGUGUGUCAAGUAAUUCUCGCACCAAAUUUUGGCGCCGUUGCCGGGGAUUAGUAACUUUGCUAAUCCUUUUAUUUUUGUUUUUGUUUAUGUUUAUAUUGGUGUUUGUGUAUUUUACUUUUGAUAUUUGAUUUAUUUUUCUUUCUUUGAUUUUAGGCACAAAUGGAGCUGAGGGAAAUUUAAAGGAAAGAUGCGUCCGGCUAAAGACGUUAAAUCAAGCGCUUCUUGGGAGGCAACCCAAGCAUUCAACGAAGG